ACUUGGUUAGUUUAUUUAAAAUAUUAAAUUGUGGAUUUAAAGAAGUAAAUACAUUAAGUA
RNAcentral lists this transfer RNA (60 nucleotides) under Ornithodoros waterbergensis. RNAcentral describes it as "tRNA-His". The record is from RNAcentral. Lineage: Eukaryota; Metazoa; Arthropoda; Arachnida; Ixodida; Argasidae.